GAGCAGAAAGAAGAGAGGAAAACAAGGCAGAAAGACAGAAAAUAGAACAAAAAAAGUGAGAGAAAAUAGAAGAAAAUCAGAAAAAAAUAGAAAAACUUAGAAAAAAGAAAACAGGAACAAAAUUGAAAAAAAUAGAAAUUGGAAAAAAGAAAAUUGGAAAAGCAUAGAAAAAAUGAAAAAAAAAAAAAAAAAAAAAAGGGAGAGAAAUGAUCAAAGAAAAUGUUUUGUAUUUUUUUUUCUUUUUGGGGAGGGGGUGGGGAAAGAGGGAGGGGGUGUCUCGAGUUUUUUUCCCCCCUCAGGGAAGCAGCAAAACGCAGGGAAAAAAAGGCAAAAAAAAAAAAACGGUGAGAAAAAGCCGAGGAAAGGGAAAAAAAAAAAAAGAGGAUUUAACCAGAAAAGGCCAGUCUGCACUCAAAACGCGCUCAGGAGAUUCCGGCAGGGAUUUGAGGAGAAAAUCCCCAGAUCUGGGGUAUGCAGAGAAGUAAGAGUCGAUUUAAUUUCAUUUUUUUGGGGAGGUCGGUUUGUUUUUGGUGGGUAGGGGGCGGUUUUGGGGUGUUUUCCGCCCUUUCCGCAGCCGCAAGUGAGAGGAGUCAGCAGCACCAAAAAGAAGCUUUUUUGCCCCAAAGUGAAGCUGGAAGAGCAGGAAUGAGGCUCCGAGAGAUUUCCUUAGGAAAACAAAAAGUAAAACCCCCCAAAAACCCCUUGGAGGGAGGGGCUGGAGCAGGCGCGGGGGGAGGGGACAAUAAUCAUGUUUUCAGGUUUUUUCUCCAAAACCAGCAGCAGGAAUGCUUAAAUUUAGACUUUUGUCCCCAAAACGAGUAAGUGUAGGAGCGAGCGAGGGGCGGGGAAGCCUCAAAUUUGAGGCAAAACCCCCCAAAAUCGGCGGUGGCAGGUACCGGGUGCGCCCCUCCCCCACCCUGAGCCCCCCCCGGGACCCGCGCGGGUGGGGUGGGGGGAGGGGCGGCGGAUUUGGGGCGAUUUCGGCCGCUUUGGGGCGUCGGGAGGCGGGGGGAGCGCGGGGACCCCCCCGGACGUGGCAUGCGGGCACCUCCCGACCCCAAAUCCCCCCAAAACCGGCGGAAAACCGCGACCUUCGGGCGGUUUGACCGAUUCGGCCGCUUUUCCCCCCAAAAAAACGGAUUGUGCUGACAGGGUGUGUGUGUCGGGGGGGGGUCUCGUGGGUGUUUUUUGCAGCCCCGCCGGCCCUGCCCCCGCCAGAGGAGCCUCCAAGAGCCAGAAUGGGGCAAAAAACCCCCAAAUCAGGGUCUGCAGGAACAGUAGGGAGCCAGAAAUUGGUAUUUGUGCCGCUUUCACCCCAAAAUGGGCCACUCCAGGGAUGGACGGGGAGGAGGGGGAGCUUUGGGUUUGGCUGUUUUGCCCCCCACCUUAAAAAAAACCCCAAAAUUGCAAAAAUUGCCUUCAGAAUGCGCUGCUCAUAGGGCCCGCCCCCAUCUGGGAAUUUAAACCGAAACCAGGGGUUUUUCACCCAAAAAAAUGUUUAGUCAGCGCCUUUGCUUGGUGCCUUUGGGAGGGGGAGGAGCUUUUGAACCAUUUCCCCUGGAUUUUCCCCCAAAGCAAAGGGAUGGAGGAGCAGGCGUUGGGGAUGGGGGGUUGGGUGUUGUCUCUCUCCCCUCCCCACAGUGACAGUGCCAAAACCGCCUUGAUUCGCCCCAAAAUGGACAAUUUGCUCCAAAAAAAGGCUUAAAAACUAGAAAUUCCCCCCAAAAUAAAGAGGCAGGAAAAGGUGAGCCA
Junco hyemalis (dark-eyed junco) is the source of this 1752-nucleotide long non-coding RNA. NCBI's taxonomy places the organism in Eukaryota, Metazoa, Chordata, Aves, Passeriformes, Passerellidae. The record is from Ensembl.